UACGGAGGGGGCAAGCGUUGUUCGGAGUUACUGGGCGUAAAGCGCGCGUAGGCGGUGCGGUAAGUCAGGGGUUAAAGGCUGCAGCUCAACUGCAGUAAGGCCUUUGAUACUAUCGUGCUAGAGUGUCAGAGAGGAUGGCGGAAUUCCCGGUGUAGCGGUGAAAUGCGUAGAUAUCGGGAGGAAUACCGGUGGCGAAGGCGCCCCUCUGGACGGUAACUGACGCUGAGGCGCGAAAGCGUGGGGAGCAAACAGG
Molecule: ribosomal RNA, 253 nt
Filed under: uncultured microorganism
Description: partial 16S ribosomal RNA
Rfam family: Bacterial small subunit ribosomal RNA
Source: RNAcentral